UGUCUCAGUUCGGAUUGGAGUCUGNAACCCGACUCCAUGAAGCUGGAUCCGCUAGUAAUCGCGCAUCAGCCACGGCGCGGUGAAUACGUUCCCGGGCCUUGUACACACCGCCCGUCAAGCCAUGGAAGCCGGGGGUGCCUGAAGUGCGCUGCCGCAAGGAGCGCCCUAGGGUAAAACCGGUGACUGGGGCUAAGUCGUAACAAGGUAAC
Molecule: ribosomal RNA, 209 nt
Filed under: uncultured bacterium
Lineage: Bacteria
Description: partial 16S ribosomal RNA
Rfam family: Bacterial small subunit ribosomal RNA
Source: RNAcentral